ACCGCAGCCUCCUCGUCUCUUCUUCUUUUCUUUCCCCAUCCGAACGCCCGCCAUUAUUGUAACUUCGAGCUUAUCAUUCUCCCUGUCCCGAUUCGCCCCCGUUGAUCCAUUCCGCUCCUCGAAACCUCGCCGCGAACGCGUCCAUCACUCCGUCUCCGGCAUCCCGGAGGAGGAAGGCUCGGAAACCCUAGUUCAAGACCUUCAGGUACCAGAAGCUUGGCUUGUUCCUUCCAAAGCCCUCGAGGAAUCAGAGUGGCUUAGAAUAACUCUCCAUAAAUGGCUGGAUGAUGAGUACUGCCCUGAGCCAACCAAUUUUAAAAUCAGCAAGCUUGCUGCUCAAUCAUACUAUGAAUCUCUGAUAUCUAAGGAGACCGAUCUCGGUGAGAUUCUACUCAAAAUUGUGAGAAGAUUGGAGACUAUAUCCUUCCAGCAAAGCUUCCAUGGAUCUUUCUCAUCAGCAAAUGCAGCAGUUCACUUGAUUACCCAGCGAAUAGAUUCUACAGCUGAGCAGUAACAUUCAGUAGAUAACACAAAAAAUGAGAAGGGACUUCAACAGGUUUUCUACUUCACUGGCAGAUUCAUCUCUUACUAUCACCUUGCCUCCUGGCCUCACAAUCCUAUCGAUCUCAGACAUAACUGGAACUCUGCAUCUGAAAUCCCAGUAUCUGGUUUCAACAAAAGGUGCGACGAGACGGAGGAGCAUAUGUUGUUAUUUUGAAAGUUAAUACUUUGAUGUGUAAAUGACCUCUUUGUAAUCAUGAGAUGUUGUGCAUGAUUGAUUUUAGUGAAUCUUUUGGAUGUAAACUUGUACACUAAAUGUAAAAGAAAGCUUUUUUUUUUUUGUUUUUUUGGGAAAUUUACAU
This is an RNA transcript of Phalaenopsis equestris, 863 nucleotides long. RefSeq lists it as uncharacterized. The record is from RefSeq and is a predicted model, not a curated record. Lineage: Eukaryota; Viridiplantae; Streptophyta; Magnoliopsida; Asparagales; Orchidaceae.